RNAcentral lists this ribosomal RNA (465 nucleotides) under uncultured bacterium. Its description in RNAcentral is "partial 16S ribosomal RNA". It matches the Rfam family "Bacterial small subunit ribosomal RNA", at positions 28 to 507 of the family's 1533-position model. The record is from RNAcentral.
GACGAACGCUGGCGGCGUGCUUAAUACAUGCAAGUCGUACGGUAAGGCCCUUUCGGGGGUACACGAGUGGCGAACGGGUGAGUAACACGUGAGUAACCUGCCCACAACUUUGGGAUAACGCUAGGAAACUGGUGCUAAUACUGGAUAUGUGCUCCUGCUGCAUGGUGGGGGUUGGAAAGCUCCGGCGGUUGUGGAUGGACUCGCGGCCUAUCAGCUUGUUGGUGGGGUAGUGGCCUACCAAGGCGGCGACGGGUAGCCGGCCUGAGAGGGUGACCGGCCACAUUGGGACUGAGAGACGGCCCAGACUCCUACGGGAGGCAGCAGUGGGGAAUAUUGCACAAUGGGCGCAAGCCUGAUGCAGCAACGCCGCGUGCGGGAUGACGGCCUUCGGGUUGUAAACCGCUUUCAGCAGGGACGAAGCUUUUUGUGACGGUACCUGCAGAAGAAGCACCGGCUAACUACGUG